Molecule: ribosomal RNA, 460 nt
Filed under: uncultured bacterium
Lineage: Bacteria
Description: partial 16S ribosomal RNA
Rfam family: Bacterial small subunit ribosomal RNA
Source: RNAcentral
GCUACGGGUGGCAGCAGUGAGGAAUAUUGGUCAAUGGGCUUACGCCUGCACCAGCCAAGUCGCGUGAGGGAAGACUGCCCUAUGGGUUGUCAACCUCUUUUGUCAGGGAGCAAUUGGCGCUACGUGUAGCGUUAUCGAGAGUACCUGAAGAAAAAGCAUCGGCUAACUCCGUGCCAGCAGCCGCGGUAAUACGUAUGAUGCGAGCGUUAUCCGGAUUUAUUUGGUUUACAGGGUGCGUAGGCGGAAUGCCAAGUCAGCGGUAAAAUCGCGGGGCUCAACCGCGCUCCGCCGUUGAACCUGGCGUGCAUGAGUGGGCGAGAAGUAUGCGGAAUGCGUGGGGUAGCGGUGAAAUGCAUAGAUAGCACGCAGAACUCCGAUUGCGAAGGCAGCAUACCGGCGCCCAACUGACGCUGAAGCACGAAAGCGUGGGUAUCGAACAGGAUUAGAUACCCGAGUAGUC